GCCGGCAUAGCUUAGUGGUAGAGCGUUGCACUUGUAUCUUGACGAUAUGCAAAGGUCGCUUGUUCGAGUCAGGCUGUUGGCA
This 82-nucleotide transfer RNA is filed under the name Metarhizium album ARSEF 1941. It matches the Rfam family "tRNA". From Rfam's summary of the family: Transfer RNA (tRNA) molecules are approximately 80 nucleotides in length. Their secondary structure includes four short double-helical elements and three loops (D, anti-codon, and T loops). Further hydrogen bonds mediate the characteristic L-shaped molecular structure. tRNAs have two regions of fundamental functional importance: the anti-codon, which is responsible for specific mRNA codon recognition, and the 3' end, to which the tRNAs corresponding amino acid is attached (by aminoacyl-tRNA synthetases). tRNAs cope with the degeneracy of the genetic code in two manners: having more than one tRNA (with a specific anti-codon) for a particular amino acid; and 'wobble' base-pairing, i.e. permitting non-standard base-pairing at the 3rd anti-codon position. Lineage: Eukaryota; Fungi; Ascomycota; Sordariomycetes; Hypocreales; Clavicipitaceae. The record is from Rfam by way of RNAcentral.